CUGCAGCUGGCUCAUUCUCACUCUCAUCUUCACCCGACCACCAUCAGUUUCAAACAGAACAUCUGUUUUCCGCCAUCUUCCUCUCCACCUCUCGUCUUCUUCUGCCACAAUGAAUCUGUGUCCAUGCCAGAUAGUUGCUUAAGUAUCCCCGCCGAUACCUGGAAGUUACCAAAGCAGUGUUGGAAAAAGUGGAGCACACACCUGGAAAAAGAGAAAUAACACCCUGUCUGUGUGUACUUUCACCACCAGAGAGAGCUAUUUGUCCAGGUUUUCUGUCCACUGAUCUCUUUCAGUGAGUAGAAUGUGACGUUGAUUUGCAGUGAGAGACUUAUGGUGAGCUCCACUUUCUUAUUUUGGUACGAAUGGACAUUAU
Oncorhynchus tshawytscha (Chinook salmon) is the source of this 373-nucleotide long non-coding RNA. The record is from Ensembl. NCBI's taxonomy places the organism in Eukaryota, Metazoa, Chordata, Actinopteri, Salmoniformes, Salmonidae.